UCUCCGUUGGUGAACCAGCGGAGGGAUCAUUAUCGAGUUUAUAACUCCCAAACCCUAUGUGAACUUACCACUUGUUGCUUCGGCGCGCGCUUCGGUGCCGCCGAGGACACUUAAACCCUUUGUUUUUAUAAGCAUUUCUGAGUGGCCGAAAGGCAAAAUACAAAUGAAUCAAAACUUUCAACAACGGAUCUCUUGGUUCUG
RNAcentral lists this unclassified non-coding RNA (201 nucleotides) under plant metagenome. Its description in RNAcentral is "partial contains small subunit ribosomal RNA, internal transcribed spacer 1, and 5.8S ribosomal RNA". The record is from RNAcentral.